This 496-nucleotide ribosomal RNA is filed under the name uncultured bacterium. RNAcentral describes it as "partial 16S ribosomal RNA". It matches the Rfam family "Bacterial small subunit ribosomal RNA", at positions 28 to 507 of the family's 1533-position model. The record is from RNAcentral.
GAUGAACGCUGGCGGCGUGCCUAAUACAUGCAAGUCGAGCGAACGGACGAGAAGCUUGCUUCUCUGAUGUUAGCGGCGGACGGGUGAGUAACACGUGGAUAACCUACCUAUAAGACUGGGAUAACUUCGGGAAACCGUAGCUAAUACCGGAUAAUAUUUUGAACCGCAUGGUUCAAAAGUGAAAGACGGUCUUGCUGUCACUAUAGAUGGAUCCGCGCUGCAUUAGCUAGUUGGUAAGGUAACGGCUUACCAAGGCAACGAUGCAUAGCCGACCUGAGAGGGUGAUCGGCCACACUGGAACUGAGACACGGUCCAGACUCCUACGGGAGGCAGCAGUAGGGAAUCUUCCGCAAUGGGCGAAAGCCUGACGGAGCAACGCCGCGUGAGUGAUGAAGGUCUUCGGAUCGUAAAACUCUGUUAUUAGGGAAGAACAUAUGUGUAAGUAACUGUGCACAUCUUGACGGUACCUAAUCAGAAAGCCACGGCUAACUACGUG